Molecule: ribosomal RNA, 444 nt
Filed under: uncultured bacterium
Lineage: Bacteria
Description: bacterial SSU rRNA
Rfam family: Bacterial small subunit ribosomal RNA
Source: RNAcentral
GCCAGACUCCUACGGGAGGCAGCAGUGGGGAAUAUUGCACAAUGGGGGGAACCCUGAUGCAGCAACGCCGCGUGGGUGAAGAAGUACUCCGGUAUGUAAAGCCCUGUCAGCAGGGAAGAAAAUGACGGUACCUGACCAAGAAGCCCCGGCUAACUCCGUGCCAGCAGCCGCGGUAAUACGGAGGAUGCGAGCGUUAUCCGGAUUUAUUGGGUUUAAAGGGUGCGCAGGCGGUCUGUUAAGUCAGCGGUCAACGCCGGGGCCCCACCCCCGCCCCGCCGUUGAAACUGGCAGUCUCGAGUUGGAGAGAAGUAUGCGGAAUGCGCGGUGUAGCGGUGAAAUGCAUAGAUAUCGCGCAGAACUCCGAUUGCGAAGGCAGCAUGCCGGCUCCACACUGACGCUGAGGCACGAAAGCGUGGGUAUCGAACAGGAUUAGAUACCCUUGUA